This is a long non-coding RNA of Myripristis murdjan (pinecone soldierfish), 1059 nucleotides long. RefSeq lists it as uncharacterized. NCBI's taxonomy places the organism in Eukaryota, Metazoa, Chordata, Actinopteri, Holocentriformes, Holocentridae. The transcript is spliced from 2 exons. The record is from RefSeq and is a predicted model, not a curated record.
CCAAGCCAAACACCGGGUCAGCCUUCAGUUCUUGGCCGGUGGAGACAUCACCUCUCUCGGCUUGCGUUUUUAACAAUGUCGCCUGCGGAGAAACCAACCUGUCCACAGACUCACUAUCUGAAUACUCACCUUUAUACAGAGGAAUAGCGUUAGUUCACGUUUACCACUGCCUUUUUUGUGACUAGAGCAACUCACAACAGUAAACACAAGACUCGCAGCUUGCGCUCCACAUUUUGGAGAAAUUUAUUUAAGAGAAUUUUCUGCUCUCUGUCGUUUUCUAGAACAACAGCCUUGUAAUUAUUGAAUCUUAUCGACUGUUUUGACGCUUAGACUGGAUUUGCCGCACGCCGUAUAAGCAAGGCUGUGUUGGCUGUGUGAGUGUGUGUUGUGAAUUAAACCUCAUAUACACCCUAGGCUAAAGCCAUUUAUCUGUGCGUUUUACUGAUCGACCUGACGGGAAGGCAGCAGCCGCAGCAGCAGCAUAAUAAAGCGACAUGGCUGGAAAAGACAAACCCAGAUGCUGCGUGGAAGAAAAAAGAGGAAAAGAAACCAGAUGAAUGAAAUUUGAGAGAAAUAUCAGGGAAGAAAGAAAGCGAUCUGUUGACAGCGGCGAGAAAUUCAAUUUGCAGCUGCCUGCGACGGGAACAUUGAAUCAUAUUACAGAGAGCAGGAGAGGAGCAGCAGCCAUACCUGAAGGCCGGAGGGUAAAAAAAAAAGAAAAAAGAAAAAAGCUUUUUACUCCUCUGCUGUAAUUCAUUGAAGAGAGAGAGAGAGCCUCUCCUUUGGCUUCUUCCAUCACAUGAUGCUGUCAGUGCGUGAGGAGCGGAGGGCCACACACACACACACACACACACACACACACACACACACACACACAGAGCCCUGUUCAACUGUAACCACAUUACAGCAGCUCACUCCGCAACACGCUCAUUACUUUGCAGCGAGACUCCACACUUCAUCAUCAGCCGAAGGUUCAACAAAAAACGGCUUGAAAACGUGGGUCUGUAAUUUCACUGAUGCUCUGAUUACAGCCUGGGCCAAAAAAAAAAAAAAAAAAAA